GAUGAACGCUGGCUACAGGCUUAACACAUGCAAGUCGAGGGGAAACGACGGGGAAGCUUGCUUCCCCGGGCGUCGACCGGCGCACGGGUGAGUAACGCGUAUCCAACCUGCCUCUGACUGAGGGAUAACCCGUCGAAAGUCGGCCUAAUACCUCAUGGCAUCGUCUGCGGGCAUCCAACGACGAUUAAAGAUUUCAUCGGUCAGAGAUGGGGAUGCGUCUGAUUAGCUUGUUGGCGGGGUAACGGCCCACCAAGGCGACGAUCAGUAGGGGUUCUGAGAGGAAGGUCCCCGACAUGGGAACUGGGACCCGGUCCAAACUCCUACGGGAGGCAGCAGUGAGGAAUAUUGGUCUAUGGGCGAGAGCAUGAACCAGCCAAGUAGCGUGCAGGAUGACGGCGCUAUGGGUUGUAAACUGCUUUUAUGCGGGGAUAAAGUGAGGGACGUGUCCUUCAUUGCAGGUACCGCAUGAAUAAGGACCGGCUAAUUCCGUG
Molecule: ribosomal RNA, 491 nt
Filed under: uncultured bacterium
Lineage: Bacteria
Description: partial 16S ribosomal RNA
Rfam family: Bacterial small subunit ribosomal RNA
Source: RNAcentral